RNAcentral lists this ribosomal RNA (505 nucleotides) under uncultured bacterium. Its description in RNAcentral is "partial 16S ribosomal RNA". It matches the Rfam family "Bacterial small subunit ribosomal RNA", at positions 28 to 507 of the family's 1533-position model. The record is from RNAcentral.
GACGAACGCUGGCGGCGUGCCUAAUACAUGCAAGUAGAACGCACAGUUUAUACCGUAGCUUGCUACACCAUAAACUGUGAGUUGCGAACGGGUGAGUAACGCGUAGGUAACCUGCCUGGUAGCGGGGGUUAACUAUUGGAAACGAUAGCUAAUACCGCAUAAUAUUAAUUAUUGCAUGAUAAUUGAUUGAAAGAUGCAAUUGCAUCACUACCAGAUGGACCUGCGUUGUAUUAGCUAGUAGGUGAGGUAACGGCUCACCUAGGCGACGAUACAUAGCCGACCUGAGAGGGUGAUCGGCCACACUGGGACUGAGACACGGCCCAGACUCCUACGGGAGGCAGCAGUAGGGAAUCUUCGGCAAUGGACGAAAGUCUGACCGAGCAACGCCGCGUGAGUGAAGAAGGUUUUCGGAUCGUAAAGCUCUGUUGUAAGAGAAGAACGGGUGUGAGAGUGGAAAGUUCACACUGUGACGGUAUCUUACCAGAAAGGGACGGCUAACUACGUG